RNAcentral lists this transfer RNA (63 nucleotides) under Ictidomys tridecemlineatus (thirteen-lined ground squirrel). Its description in RNAcentral is "Spermophilus tridecemlineatus (thirteen-lined ground squirrel) tRNA". It matches the Rfam family "tRNA", at positions 5 to 66 of the family's 71-position model. From Rfam's summary of the family: Transfer RNA (tRNA) molecules are approximately 80 nucleotides in length. Their secondary structure includes four short double-helical elements and three loops (D, anti-codon, and T loops). The record is from Rfam by way of RNAcentral. Lineage: Eukaryota; Metazoa; Chordata; Mammalia; Rodentia; Sciuridae.
AUGUAGCUCAGUGGUGGAGCACAUGCUUAAUAUGCAUGAAGCUCUGGGUUCAAUCCCCAAUGU